UCNUGGGAGGCAGCAGUGAGGAAUCUUGCGCAAUGGAGGAAACUCUGACGCAGCCACCCGCGUGCCGGAAGACGGCCNUACGGGUUGUAAACGGCUUUUGUUGGGGAAGAACUGGUGGGUUUCGACNUGCCUUGACGGUACAGAAUGAAUAAGCACCGGCUAACUCCGUGCCAGCAGCCGAGGUAAUACGGAGGGUGCAAGCGUUGUCCGGAAUCAUUGGGAGUAAAGGGUGGGUAGGCGGGCAAUUAAGUCUGGGGUGAAAUCUCCGCUUAACGGUAAAAUUGCCUUGGAUACUGAGNGUCUUGAAUCUGACAGAGGGGUGGAAUUNGUAGUGUAGCGGUGAAAUGCAUAGAUAUUAGGAAGAACAUCGGUGGCGAAGGCGGCCGGCUGGGUCAGUAUUGACGCUGAGGCAAGAGAGCGUGGGGAGCGAACAGGAUUAGAUACCCUGGUAGUCCACGCUGUAAACGAUGUAUGCUAGNGNUGGGCCUNGGGUUCAGUGACGCAGUUAACGCANUAAGCC
Molecule: ribosomal RNA, 520 nt
Filed under: uncultured bacterium
Lineage: Bacteria
Description: bacterial SSU rRNA
Rfam family: Bacterial small subunit ribosomal RNA
Source: RNAcentral